CAGAGGUCUCGAGCGUUAAUCGGAAUUACUGGGCUUAAAGGGUGCGUAGGCGGCGCUGUAAGUGCCUUGUGAAAUCCCAUGGCUUAACCAUGGAAUUGCUCGGCAGACUGCAGUGCUUGAGGUCGGUAGGGGGUCGCUGGAACUCUAGGUGGAGCGGUGAAAUGCGUAGAUAUCUAGAGGAACGCCAAAGGUGUAGACAGGCGACUGGGCCGAUUCUGACGCUGAGGCACGAAAGCGUGGGUAGCGAACGGGAUUAGAUACCCCGGUAGUCCACGCCCUAAACGAUGUGCACUAGAUCGUGGAGGCUCUGACGCCAUCAUGGUCGAAGUUAAAAUGCUAAGUGCACCGCCUGGGGAGUACGGUCGCAAGGCUA
This 373-nucleotide ribosomal RNA is filed under the name uncultured organism. Its description in RNAcentral is "bacterial SSU rRNA". It matches the Rfam family "Bacterial small subunit ribosomal RNA", at positions 526 to 896 of the family's 1533-position model. The record is from RNAcentral.